RNAcentral lists this ribosomal RNA (163 nucleotides) under Plantago rapensis. RNAcentral describes it as "5.8S ribosomal RNA". It matches the Rfam family "5.8S ribosomal RNA". From Rfam's summary of the family: 5.8S ribosomal RNA (5.8S rRNA) is a component of the large subunit of the eukaryotic ribosome. Lineage: Eukaryota; Viridiplantae; Streptophyta; Magnoliopsida; Lamiales; Plantaginaceae. The record is from RNAcentral.
UCAAAACGACUCUCGGCAACGGAUAUCUCGGCUCUUGCAUCGAUGAAGAACGUAGCGAAAUGCGAUACUUGGUGUGAAUUGCAGAAUCCCGUGAACCAUCGAGUCUUUGAACGCAAGUUGCGCCUGAUGCCUUCGGGCUGAGGGCACGCCUGCCUGGGCGUCA